Molecule: ribosomal RNA, 465 nt
Filed under: Vreelandella stevensii
Lineage: Bacteria; Pseudomonadati; Pseudomonadota; Gammaproteobacteria; Oceanospirillales; Halomonadaceae
Description: partial 16S ribosomal RNA
Rfam family: Bacterial small subunit ribosomal RNA
Source: RNAcentral
CCUACGGGAGGCAGCAGUGGGGAAUAUUGGACAAUGGGGGCAACCCUGAUCCAGCCAUGCCGCGUGUGUGAAGAAGGCCCUCGGGUUGUAAAGCACUUUCAGUGAGGAAGAACGCCUGGUGGUUAAUACCCAUCAGGAAAGACAUCACUCACAGAAGAAGCACCGGCUAACUCCGUGCCAGCAGCCGCGGUAAUACGGAGGGUGCGAGCGUUAAUCGGAAUUACUGGGCGUAAAGCGCGCGUAGGUGGCUUGAUAAGCCGGUUGUGAAAGCCCCGGGCUCAACCUGGGAACGGCAUCCGGAACUGUCAAGCUAGAGUGCAGGAGAGGAAGGUAGAAUUGCCGGUGUAGCGGUGAAAUGCGUAGAGAUCGGGAGGAAUACCAGUGGCGAAGGCGGCCUUCUGGACUGACACUGACACUGAGGUGCGAAAGCGUGGGUAGCAAACAGGAUUAGAUACCCUGGUAGUA